RNAcentral lists this transfer RNA (83 nucleotides) under Thermoproteota archaeon. Its description in RNAcentral is "tRNA-Ser". It matches the Rfam family "tRNA". From Rfam's summary of the family: Transfer RNA (tRNA) molecules are approximately 80 nucleotides in length. Their secondary structure includes four short double-helical elements and three loops (D, anti-codon, and T loops). Lineage: Archaea; Thermoproteati; Thermoproteota. RNAcentral also lists the same sequence under 1 other name. The record is from RNAcentral.
GCCGGGGUGGCUGAGUGGUAAAGCGCCGGCCUCGAAAGCCGGUUCCCCUUUGGGGUAUAAGGGUUCGAAUCCCUUCCCCGGCG